This 411-nucleotide ribosomal RNA is filed under the name uncultured bacterium. RNAcentral's name for it is "bacterial SSU rRNA". It matches the Rfam family "Bacterial small subunit ribosomal RNA", at positions 434 to 849 of the family's 1533-position model. The record is from RNAcentral.
UAUAAAGGAAUAAAGUCGGGUAUGCAUACCCGUUUGCAUGUACUUUAUGAAUAAGGAUCGGCUAACUCCGUGCCAGCAGCCGCGGUAAUACGGAGGAUCCGAGCGUUAUCCGGAUUUAUUGGGUUUAAAGGGAGCGUAGAUGGAUGUUUAAGUCAGUUGUGAAAGUUUGCGGCUCAACCGUAAAAUUGCAGUUGAUACUGGAUAUCUUGAGUGCAGUUGAGGCAGGCGGAAUUCGUGGUGUAGCGGUGAAAUGCUUAGAUAUCACGAAGAACUCCGAUUGCGAAGGCAGCCUGCUAAGCUGCAACUGACAUUGAGGCUCGAAAGUGUGGGUAUCAAACAGGAUUAGAUACCCUGGUAGUCCACACGGUAAACGAAGAAGACUCGCUGUUUGCGAUAUACUGCAAGCGGCCA